RNAcentral lists this ribosomal RNA (300 nucleotides) under Triticum aestivum (bread wheat). Its description in RNAcentral is "partial small subunit ribosomal RNA". Lineage: Eukaryota; Viridiplantae; Streptophyta; Magnoliopsida; Poales; Poaceae. The record is from RNAcentral.
AUGGGGCCCUACGGCCCAGAUCUGGGCCAAGGACGCGCCGCCAACCACCCUACGACCCCCGGCCGUCCCGCCGCCAAGGGAAGCGCCACCACCACACUGGCCGCCGACCACCACCACAAGGACGCUGGGCAACGGUUACUGAGCCGACGUCUCAUGCCCCAGGGAGAGGAGCUGCGCAUGGGUAAAGGAGGACCCGCCGCCGCCAACGCCACCCGAGCCAGAUCUGGGGGCGGCCGCCGGCGGCGACGGGGGGAGAGGGAGGAGGAAGGGGGCGAAGGGAAGGAUCUGUGCGCCUCCUGA